Molecule: long non-coding RNA, 1311 nt
Organism: Lepisosteus oculatus (spotted gar)
Lineage: Eukaryota; Metazoa; Chordata; Actinopteri; Semionotiformes; Lepisosteidae
Source: RefSeq, a predicted model, not a curated record
UAUAGGAGGAGAGCGCAGUUGCGUUUUGUUUUUUAGAAGCGUGAAGCUAGUUGCUCUGUUUUUUUAAGGUAGAAAGUGGCACUCAUUUUUGUUUUUGCCUAGGUAUUUCUUCGUAUAGCAGAGACAUGAAACAGAUCAAAUUGUCUGCCGGCAAGCGGUUUGCCAAGCCGGUCUUGUUUGGGACGAUCCUCAUUGGGUUGUCCAUCGCCUUUGUUAACAGACACAAGUUUUUCCCUGAAGUGGAAGAGAUUCGUGCCAGAGAACAGGCCAAAUACGAUGAAAAGCUGGCAGAGGUUCUGGAGCGUCGGCAGAAGCAAAUGGGAGAGCUGGCAGAGAAGAGACAGGCUUCUCGAUGAGCUCAGGGGAUGUCCUGUCUGUAGGAAAGGCUGAGCUUCUCACUGCUGUACAGACAACCUGGCAGCCAGCUCCUCAAUUCCUGUGGAGUUGCUCAAUCUCUCAACAAUAUUUUGUGCAAACCUGGCAAGUGAAGAUUUUCUGUGAAUUCCCAGAUACUUUUGUGACGAGAAUGAUGUAUAGGAAGGAGUAUAUCACUAAACUGACUCCUAAGAGUUCAAAGAUAAGAAAAUAUUUUUCCUUGUAAUACGCCAUUACAAGGUUGAGUAGUGCACUAAUGUAAAAUGAAAGCCUCAAGGUCAGGAACAACAUCUAUGAAAAGCUUCAAGUGUUUUCUUUUUUCACUUCUCGGUAAAUGGCUUUAAAAUUUUUAGUUUUACAUUGUAAGAUGUAACAAAAAAAUAUAUUUCCUUAACUUUUCAGCAAGAAUAAUUAGUGUGUGGCCAAAAUGUUUUUAUUACCUAUAUGUAUUUACACAAACUCCUUUGCAAAAUAUAUACAAUUUGUUCAUGUCUAAAUGUGUGAUUUAUACUCUCAUUUGGGUGUGCUACCAUUUGUUGGAUACAUGCUUAGCCUCACUGUGCACAGAUGUGCCUCCUAGUGUUUUCCUUUAGAUAAAGCAUACAGAGGCCUCAAAGACACUAACUGAUCUUUUCUGGUAAACAUGAGGAUGUUACAGGAGCUAGAAGAAGUUAUAAUCACAUUUUCCACACACUGUGACAGGAAGUCUGCGUGAAGGCAUUUGAAGUGUUUUGGUUUGAAAAGCAUGUUCUUUUUGAUUUAAGCUUAGGGUACAAUAUGUGAUCAGCUUGUACUUUAUUUGAAUCGGUAGAAUCAUAUGCUUUUAAUGUGACUUUUAUACACUUGAUGAAGUGAAUUGCUCUAUGAAAUGUAACUAAACUUUCCAGAGGACUGAGUGCCAAGCAUGAAAAAUAAAUUCAAUGCUGUUUAAAAUCA